UACAGAGGUCCCGAGCGUUGUUCGGAUUCAUUGGGCGUAAAGGGUGCGUAGGUGGCGCUGUAAGUGGGGUGUGAAAUCCCGGGGCUUAACCCCGGGACUGCAUUCCAUACUGCGGUGCUUGAGGACUGGAGAGGAGACUGGAAUUUACGGUGUAGCAGUGAAAUACGUAGAGAUCGUAAGGAAGACCAGUGGCGAAGGCGGGUCUCUGGACAGUUCCUGACACUGAGGCACGAAGGCCAGGGGAGCAAACGGG
Molecule: ribosomal RNA, 253 nt
Filed under: uncultured bacterium
Lineage: Bacteria
Description: partial 16S ribosomal RNA
Rfam family: Bacterial small subunit ribosomal RNA
Source: RNAcentral